Molecule: ribosomal RNA, 2159 nt
Filed under: Ditylenchus destructor
Lineage: Eukaryota; Metazoa; Nematoda; Chromadorea; Rhabditida; Anguinidae
Description: SSU rRNA
Rfam family: Eukaryotic small subunit ribosomal RNA (bases 1-1702)
Source: RNAcentral
AUUACAACAGCUAUAAUUUACUUGAUCUUGACAAAUCCUACUUGGAUAACUGUGGUAAUUCUAGAGCUAAUACAUGCACCAAAGCUCUGACCUUACGGGAAGAGUGCAUUUAUUAGAACAAAACCAGGCGGCCUCCGGGUCGUUUUUUGUUGACUCAGAAUAACUAAGCUGAUCGCAUGGUCUCGUACCGGCGACGUGUCUUUCAAGUGUCUGCCUUAUCAACUUUCGAUGGUAGUGUAUGUGACUACCAUGGUUGUGACGGGUAACGGAGGAUAAGGGUUUGACUCCGGAGAAGGGGCCUGAGAAAUGGCCACUACGUCUAAGGAUGGCAGCAGGCGCGCAAAUUACCCACUCUCAGAAUGAGGAGGUAGUGACGAGAAAUAACGAGACCGUUCUCUUAGAGGCCGGUCAUCGGAAUGGGUACAAUCUAAACCCUUUAACGAGUAUCUAUGAGAGGGCAAGUCUGGUGCCAGCAGCCGCGGUAAUUCCAGCUCUCAAAAUGCAUAGAAUUAUUGCUGCGGUUAAAAAGCUCGUAGUUGGAUCUGUGCCGCAGGACUCGGUCUGCCUUCGGGCACGCACUGAGCUUCUCGGCUUUUCUGCUGGUUUUCCCGUUAUGGUCUUAACCGGCCGUAGCGGGUGGCUGGCGAUUUUACUUUGAACAAAUCAGAGUGCUCAACACAGGCGUUUCGCUUGAAUGUUCUUGCAUGGAAUAAUAGAAGAGGAUUUCGGUCCUAUUUUAUUGGUUUUAUAGGCUGAAAUAAUGGUUAAUAGAGACAAACGGGGGCAUUCGUAUCGCUGCGUGAGAGGUGAAAUUCUUGGACCGCAGCGAGACGAACUACAGCGAAAGCAUUUGCCAAGAAUGUCUUCAUUAAUCAAGAACGAAAGUCAGAGGUUCGAAGGCGAUCAGAUACCGCCCUAGUUCUGACCGUAAACGAUGUCAACUAGAGAUCCGCCGAUGGAAUAUUUGCCUUGGUGGGGAUCUUACCGGAAACGAAAGUUUUUAGAUUCCGGGGGAAGUAUGGCUGCAAAGCUGAAACUUAAAGGAAUUGACGGAAGGGCACCACCAGGAGUGGAGCCUGCGGCUUAAUUUGACUCAACACGGGAAAACUCACCCGGCCCGGACACCGUAAGGAUUGACAGAUUGAUAGCUCUUUCAUGAUUCGGUGGAUGGUGGUGCAUGGCCGUUCUUAGUUCGUGGAGCGAUUUGUCUGGUUUAUUCCGAUAACGAGCGAGACUCUAGCCUACUAAAUAGUCCGCCCAUUGUUUCUGUGUGGCGUGACUUCUUAGAGGGAUUUUCGGUGUACAGCCGCACGAAAUUGAGCAAUAACAGGUCUGUGAUGCCCUUAGAUGUCCGGGGCUGCACGCGCGCUACACUGGCGAAAUCAGCGUGCUUGUCCUUUCCCGAAAGGGAUUGGUAAACCAAUGAAAAUUCGCCGUGAUUGGGAUCGGAAAUUGCAAUUAUUUUCUGUGAACGAGGAAUUCCAAGUAAAUGCGAGUCAUCAACUCGCGUUGAUUACGUCCCUGCCCUUUGUACACACCGCCCGUCGCUGCCCGGGACUGGGCCAUUUCGAGAAAUUUGGGGAUUGCUGAUUAGCGAUUCUUACGGAUUGCUUUUUGGUGAGAACCAAUUUAAUCGCAGUGGCCUGAACCGGGCAAAAGUCGUAACAAGGUGGCUGUAGGUGAACCUGCUGCCGGAUCAUUAACGAUCAUACCAAUCCACUUUCAGUGGUUAUAUUAGUCCUCAAAGGUGGCAUGCUUCUGCCAUGCAGGCACAGAGUAGUUGUCCCGCUCUGUAUUUGUACUUGCGCAUUUGGGCUUGCACUUUGCGCUGUGUACUUGCGCUAUGUACUUGCUCUGUGUACUUGCUCUGUGUACUUGCGCUGUGUACUUGCUUUAGAGCUUGCAUUUGUGCUUGCAUUUGAGCUUGCAUUUGAGCUUGCAUUUGUGCUUGCAUUUGCGCUUGUGUUUGCUGGUGCGCUUGUGCCUGGCUAAUUUGUGGGCGAAAAACGGCUUUGUUGGCCUCUAAGUUUUCCUGAGCAGUUGUAUGCUUCUUUGUCCGUGGCUGUGAUGAAGGAAAACGGUACGUGGUUUUCGUAAUCGCGAGAGUUAAUGAGCACUGGCUUUGGUGCCGCCAACACAAAACCCCAAUUUUACAAAUU